Molecule: ribosomal RNA, 785 nt
Filed under: uncultured bacterium
Lineage: Bacteria
Description: bacterial SSU rRNA
Rfam family: Bacterial small subunit ribosomal RNA
Source: RNAcentral
GUGGCGAACGGCUGAGUAACGCGUAGGCGACCUACCCCGUAGUGUGGAAUAACUGCCCGAAAGGGUAGCUAAUACCGCAUGUUGAGCCGACAUCAAUGUCGUCUCCAAAGCAGAAAUGCGCUAUGGGCGGGGCCUGCGUUCGAUUAGCUAGUUGGUGGGGUAAUGGCUCACCAAGGCGACGAUCGAUAGGUGGUCUGAGAGGACGAUCACCCAGACUGGGACUGAGACACGGCCCAGACUCCUACGGGAGGCAGCAGUCGGGAAUUUUGCGCAAUGGGGGAAACCCUGACGCAGCAAUACCGCGUGUGGGAUGAAGGCCUUCGGGUCGUAAACCACUUUUUUCGGGGACGAUAAUGACGGUACCCGAAGAAUAAGCCACGGCUAACUACGUGCCAGCAGCCGCGGUAAUACGUAGGUGGCAAGCGUUGUCCGGAUUUACUGGGCGUAAAGCGCGCGCAGGCGGUGAAUGAAGUCGAAAGUGAAAGCCCCGGGCUCAACUCGGGAACUGCUUUCGAAACCAGUUCACUUGAAGGCGGAAGAGGGAAGUGGAAUUCCGAGUGUAGUGGUGGAAUGCGUAGAUAUUCGGAAGAACACCAGAGGCGAAGGCGACUUCCUGGUCCGAUCUUGACGCUGAGGCGCGAAAGCUAGGGGAGCAAACGGGAUUAGAUACCCCGGCAGUCCUAGCUGUAAACGAUGGAUACUAGGUGUUGGAGGUUUUAACCCCUCCGGUGCCGCAGCUAACGCAUUAAAUAUCCCGCCUGGGGAGUACGGCCGCAAGGCUAAAA